This 233-nucleotide long non-coding RNA is filed under the name Citrus sinensis (sweet orange). RNAcentral's name for it is "long non-coding RNA (CSIN_LNC005455)". The record is from RNAcentral. Lineage: Eukaryota; Viridiplantae; Streptophyta; Magnoliopsida; Sapindales; Rutaceae.
CAGAGGGGAAGAGGCGCUACGUCUAGGAAUCAGCAACACGAAAACUUUGUUAUAAACUGCCCCCUUUCCUUAGCGGGAUCGGGACUAAGAAGAAUGGUUGGGAUAACAAACAUCCAUCUCGUUCGUACUGUGGAUACCCGUAUAACCAUCGAAGACUGUUGAAGUGAUUAAUUCCUGUAAAUUAAGGGGCGUUGAGAACAAAGAAAUUGUUGGAGUUUCCGGUUUUAUCUAGC